RNAcentral lists this ribosomal RNA (126 nucleotides) under Triticum aestivum (bread wheat). RNAcentral's name for it is "partial small subunit ribosomal RNA". Lineage: Eukaryota; Viridiplantae; Streptophyta; Magnoliopsida; Poales; Poaceae. The record is from RNAcentral.
AUGGACAGAGCUGAUACUUCAGGCUUUCUUGGUAGUGGCUCACAUUGCAAGAACAUUGACGUGUGCUUCCAUUUUGUGUAUACUAUAUACUUUCUCGGUGGUGAAGUUGUUAAACUGGGGUUUUGA